GUUUCCGUAGGUGAACCUGCGGAAGGAUCAUUAACCGGUACCAAACAGUGUGUGAUGCGGCCGCCGAGGUGAAUAGCCUCUGGUUGGUAUGGGGUUCGCCCCUUCACGUUCACGCGUCUGCCAUCCUUACUUUACGAGCACCUUCUGUUCUCCCUCGGCAAGGGCCUCGCCCUGCCGUUGGAACUACAAAACUCUUUUUUGCAUCUAGCAUUACCUGUUCCGACAAAAACAAUCGUUUACAACUUUCAACAAUGGAUCUCUUGGCUCUGGCAUCGAUGAAGAACGCAGCGAAAUGCGAUAAGUAGUGUGAAUUGCAGAAUUCAGUGAAUCAUCGAAUCUUUGAACGCACAUUGCGCCCCUCGGUAUUCCGUGGGGCAUGCCUGUUCGAGCGUCAUCUACACCCUCAAGCUCUGCUUGGUGUUGGGCGUCUGUCCCGCCUCCGCGCGUGGACUCGCCCCAAAUACAUUGGCAGCGGUCUUUGCCUCCUCUCGCGCAGCACAUUGCGCUUCUCGAGGUGUCGCGGACACGCGUCCAAUAAGCAACAUUUACCGUCUUUGACCUCGGAUCAGGUAGGGAUACCCGCUGAACUUAAGCAUAUCAAUAA
Molecule: unclassified non-coding RNA, 604 nt
Filed under: Pseudopithomyces diversisporus
Lineage: Eukaryota; Fungi; Ascomycota; Dothideomycetes; Pleosporales; Didymosphaeriaceae
Description: sequence contains ITS1, 5.8S rRNA gene, ITS2
Rfam family: 5.8S ribosomal RNA (bases 241-394)
Source: RNAcentral